Molecule: ribosomal RNA, 939 nt
Filed under: Buchnera aphidicola (Cinara brevisaeta)
Lineage: Bacteria; Pseudomonadati; Pseudomonadota; Gammaproteobacteria; Enterobacterales; Erwiniaceae
Description: bacterial SSU rRNA
Rfam family: Bacterial small subunit ribosomal RNA
Source: RNAcentral
AAGCACCGGCUAACUCCGUGCCAGCAGCCGCGGUAAUACGGGGGGUGCGAGCGUUAAUCGGAAUUACUGGGCGUAAAGAGCGCGUAGGCUGUUAUUUAAGUCAGAUGUGAAAUCCCUGGGCUUAACCUAGGAACUGCAUUUGAAACUGAAUAGCUAGAGUUUCGUAGAGGGAGGUAGAAUUCUAGGUGUAGCGGUGAAAUGCGUAGAUAUCUGGAGGAAUACCUGUGGCGAAAGCGACCUCCUGGACGAAAACUGACGCUGAGGCGCGAAAGCAUGGGGAGCAAACAGGAUUAGAUACCCUGGUAGUCCAUGCUGUAAACGAUGUCAACUUGGAGGUUGUUUCCUUAGAGGAAUGACUUCUGAAGCUAACGCAUUAAGUUGACCGCCUGGGGAGUACGGUCGCAAGGCUAAAACUCAAAUGAAUUGGCGGGGGCCCGCACAAGCGGUGGAGCAUGUGGUUUAAUUCGAUGCAACGCGAAAAACCUUACCUGGUCUUGACAUCCAUAGAAUUCUACAGAAAUAUAGAAGUGCCUUCGGGAGCUAUGUGACAGGUGCUGCAUGGCUGUCGUCAGCUCGUGUUGUGAAAUGUUGGGUUAAGUCCCGCAACGAGCGCAACCCUUAUUCUUUGUUACCAUCGGUUCGGCCGGGGACUCAAAGGAGACUGCCGGUUAUAAACCGGAGGAAGGUGGGGACGACGUCAAGUCAUCAUGGCCCUUACGACCAGGGCUACACACGUGCUACAAUGGUAUAUACAAAGAGAAGCUAAUCUGCAAAGACAAGCAAAACUCAUAAAGUGUAUCGUAGUCCGGACUGGAGUCUGCAACUCGACUCCACGAAGUCGGAAUCGCUAGUAAUCGUGGAUCAGAAUGCCACGGUGAAUACGUUCCCGGGCCUUGUACACACCGCCCGUCACACCAUGGGAGUGAGUUGCAAAAGAAG